GCUCUAAACAGCAUAAAAUACUUCUUUAAAACAUGCAACAGCAGGUUCCUAGUAUGACAUCGUCCGUUUUCCUAAAUGCGUCAAGAAGGGUCUAACAGCAGGACCUCAGGGGCUGGGAAAGUUAUUCAGUCCCCCUGUUCUUCCCCCCCCCAGAGAUGGCUAUGCUGCUGGGCCACCCGCAGCAAAGAUCCAUCUGUAGCAGAGGUGAACCUUGGCCCAACACACCAAGGACAAAGUUCAGCUAACAGCAAGGGAAACCAAAGCAGAGGGUCGAUGAGGUACUUCUCUGAGUACAAAGCUCAGCACCUGCAGGUCCCAGGGAAGCCUGUGAAACUUGUUUUCCCAAAACACAGACAGCACCAGUUUCACCAAGGACAGCAAGGACCUGUGGAAACACUUUACUUGGAAACAGUUCCUACACUACACCAGCAGUG
Molecule: long non-coding RNA, 434 nt
Filed under: Coturnix japonica (Japanese quail)
Lineage: Eukaryota; Metazoa; Chordata; Aves; Galliformes; Phasianidae
Description: lncRNA (ENSCJPG00005000064.1)
Source: RNAcentral